Molecule: transfer RNA, 117 nt
Filed under: Hippoglossus stenolepis (Pacific halibut)
Lineage: Eukaryota; Metazoa; Chordata; Actinopteri; Pleuronectiformes; Pleuronectidae
Description: tRNA-Arg
Rfam family: tRNA
About the family: Transfer RNA (tRNA) molecules are approximately 80 nucleotides in length.
Source: RNAcentral
GGCUCUGUGGCGCAAUGGACAGCGCAUUGGACUUCUAGCAUCAUCAUGUUCAAGUGUUCUAAUAUCAGCACAGAGGAAGUGAUUCAAAGGUUGUGGGUUCGAGUCCCACCAGAGUCG